This 220-nucleotide ribosomal RNA is filed under the name uncultured bacterium. RNAcentral's name for it is "partial 16S ribosomal RNA". It matches the Rfam family "Bacterial small subunit ribosomal RNA", at positions 135 to 353 of the family's 1533-position model. The record is from RNAcentral.
AGGGGGACGAACAGUUGGAAACGACUGCUAAUACCGCAUGACGCAUGACCGGGGCAUCCCGGGCAUGUCAAAGAUUUUAUCGCUGGAAGAUGGCCUCGCGUCUGAUUAGCUAGAUGGUGGGGUAACGGCCCACCAUGGCGACGAUCAGUAGCCGGACUGAGUGGUUGACCGGCCACAUUGGGACUGAGAUACGGCCCAGACUCCUACGGGAGGCAGCAUG